Long non-coding RNA from Capsicum annuum, 3223 nucleotides. RefSeq lists it as uncharacterized. The transcript has 2 exons. Lineage: Eukaryota; Viridiplantae; Streptophyta; Magnoliopsida; Solanales; Solanaceae. The record is from RefSeq and is a predicted model, not a curated record.
UGGGGAAAUUUGAGAGAAGAGAGAUAGAGCGGAGCCGGAUCCCUCAUACAUAUAUGCAUUAUCUAAGUUACUAUAUAGGAAUGAAGCUCUAUGAGUUUGUUGCUCUGUGAUUUAAUAUAAAUUUCAUAUUUAAAAGGUUACAGCUUACAGAAUUGGAUUGAAAAUCUAUACUGAAAAUAAUUUGAUAUAUCUUAUACAAGAAUGAAAGAUACAAUGGUGCAUGUAUGACACUAGGCCUCUUCUUGAAAAAAGAAAGAACAAAAGGAACUUAGAGUCGACGCCCACAUAACGAAUGAUUUUCUACUUCGAAGGUUGAUUUCAUCAUCUCUGUGAGUUCUUACUUUUGUGUUUGAUUGUUUGCCUUGAAAUUUUCUUCAUUUCGUUGAUGAUGCGUCUACAUUGGAUAUUCUUGUUUUGGGUUUCUUUUUAUCGCAACCUGCUGCAUUCUUCUAAUUCAAUUUCUCAUUAAAUUAUUCUCUCUUUCAAUUGUUUUGUUAAUCUUAUAUAUGUGCUUUGAGAUCUGAUAGUUACAGCCACAAACUGUAGUCAUUUAUGUGCUUAUGCGAGCUCGCAGUGGAUUCUUCAUAGUAAAAGUGAAAUCCAUUUCCUUGUUUAAAUCAUCAUAUCCCUCCACAGGCUUCCACUUGAAACGUCAAAUCAAGUUAGCCACAAAGUACUCUAAAUGGAACAUAGCAAAAUUAUAGCUCAGACAUAUUCUCCUUCCUAUGCCGAAUGCCAUCAUCUUGAUCUCUCUACUUCUUGUUAAAUCAAACGUAUCACCAUCUCUAUGAUCAUCCAUCAAGAACCUCUCCAGUUUAAAUUCCAUUGGAUCCUCCCAUACGUUUGGGUCCAAUCCCAUUUCUCUUGCCAUGAAUAGAUUAUCGCGUUCUUUGGUAACGCGUAGCCAUUCAAUUCCAUUUCAUCUGUCACUCCAUGUGGUAGCAAAAAAUGAGAUGGUGGAUAACUCUUUAAACUUUCUAAAAUCACCACUUUUAAAUAUGACAGUUUCCUUAUAUCCUCUUCUAUCUUCAACUUAUCUUUUCCUCCUCUGAUUUACGUGCUAUUCCAAUUUUGCAUGCUAUUUGUUUAUAUAGUUUUUCUUCAAUGGCAAAGUACUUAACCAAGUAAGCCAUAGUCCACUGCACCACGGUGAUAGUUGUGUCACUAGCUGCCCCGAGGAUCUCAACACAGAGACUAACAAUCUCUUCAUUAGUAGUUUCCUUUUCUCCUUUGGCAAUUCCAAAUUCAGUAAUGUAUCAAUGUAAGAAAUUAUUUCCAAAAAGUUGAAUCGCCAAAUUUAAUUUCGUAGCUUUUAUGUGUAAUGGUGUCUGUACUUUAGCUUCCGUAGCUUCAAAGGUGAACUUUCUUUCUUUAUACGAUCACCGCUAUGAAACCUCUGGGUCUGUAUUAGAAUUUUUUCCAAGUACAUGCAUGUCCUAAAGCAGUUAAAAAUAAAUGAACUACAGGAUAAAGACGUCCUUAACUGCAUGUUCAACAAAAUUUAAGUUGAUCAAUUAUUGUUUUCUGAUUGUUUGUUUUACCUUUGUUGCUUCAUGUAAUUUCAUCUGGUGGAGUGAGUUUAGAAUUUGGAGAUUAAAUCAGCAGGGUGGUACCGACUGUUGCUCUCCUGGUCACCCUUUAUAUUGAUUGCUGCUCAAUCAAUUUCUCGUGUGUUUUUGUGGUCAGUUUGGUUGAGUCUUGAUUAAUCCGUUGGUUCCAAUUUAUUUGCCUGAUUUUGACUUGGUACGGAAUUUAAGAAAGUAAACGAACUUUUGAAAUUGAAAAUCUUUAAAUAAAGAUAUAUGAACAUGAAUUGAUGUUGGACUUUUAUACAAACCUUCAACUUCAGUCCUUGUCAAGUCUGACUCCAAUCAUGGUCGCAACACUCUUUAUGGUCCACAGAACCCACAGUGAAUGAGCUUGUCUCAAAUGUUAUAACAGCCUGCCUUACUGUCUUUGUGGAUUGCUGCCGUUCUGUCAAGCCUACUCCACCUUCUGUACAUCUUUUAGAAUCGAAGUUGCAGUUUCUCCUUUUUUUUCCUUAGUCUUAUCUAUUUUGAUAUCACCAAAGAAUAUUCAAUUGCUGUUUUCAAGGAAACAAUGUCUAAUGAAUACGCAAUGAGGUUCCAUUUGGUUGCAAGUGCAAUGCUCUUGUCAUUGUUAUUGCUUUUUAAAUUCCUGUCAAAAGACCUUGUUAAUGUUGUAUUGACGUGCUACUUCUUCAUACUCGGCAUUGCUGCACUUUCGUAUGUUCUCUCUGUAUGGAUCAUUCUGAAUGCUUAAUAUUUUCUAUUUCAAGUUACUGAAUAGUAGUUUUUCUGUGCAUAUACUUUAUGCAUCUUUUUCUUUAUGGUUUUACAGGGUGACGUUGUUACCUGCUAUUAAACGUUUCUCUUAUGAAAGUUCCAAUUGAUUCUUUUAGAAUCCUCGAGCUUCCAUUUUUCUUUUUGUUUUUUUGUUCGUCUCUUUUUCAGCUUUGGAGAUUGAGUUCACAAGGUCUAAGGUUAUUGCUGCAAUUCCCAGAAUCAUUUUCUGUGUGAUAUGCUAGACAGAAGCAUUGGCUAGCUAACAACGUUUUGGCCCUUGCCUUUUGCAUUCAGCCAACAUACUUGAAGACACUUUCUGGUAAUAUAUAAGUUCUGAGGAAGUUAACGCGUUAUGAUAUAACGACUUUUACUCUUGUUAAUGCAUCCAUUACGUGAAGAGCCCAUCGCUGUUGGAUUUAAUCUAGAUGAAGCUUUCUCAGGGGAAAAAUCAGGGGAAGGGAAACUCCGGAACUAUUGAAAAGCUCAAAGCCUCGACCUUUCCUGCCACAGUUAUGAGAAUGGGGAGCUGAGAGGUAAUAUUGAUGUUUUAGUACCGACUGUAAUUUGUAAUCUACAAAUUGUGACGAGAACUGUGUUAGAAAAGCUCAAAGCCCCGAACUUUCCUACCACAGUUAUGAGAAUCAGGAGCUGGGAGGUAAUAUUGAUGUUUUAGAUCUACAAAUUGCAAUUGAAUUAGGAAGUUGAUUUUAUUUUUUUACAAUUUUUGUAAAUUCAGCUAAAUUGGGACUCAACAUUUUCUUGACCUUAGUUUUUCCAAACUGAGGUUAUAGCAAGGCUAAUAUGUUAUAACAUACAAACUGACGGUUAUAAAUUAUAGCUACGUUACUAUUAUUGGGUCGGCGCUAGUGCGGGCUUUUACAUCUAAUAUAUGGAAUGAAAAGUUUUCAUCGUCCUCA